ACUCCUACGGGAGGCAGCAGUAGGGAAUAUUGGUCAAUGGGCGAAAGCCUGAACCAGCCAUGCCGCGUGUCAGAUGAAGGUCCUCUGGAUUGUAAAUGACUUUUCUACGGGAAGAAUGAGCCGUCUGCGGACGGAAGUUGACGGUACCGUAGGAAUAAGCACCGGCUAACUACGUGCCAGCAGCCGCGGUAAUACGUAGGGUGCAAGCGUUGUCCGGAUUUACUGGGUUUAAAGGGUACGUAGGCGGUUGUGCCAAGUCUGGGGUGAAAGUUUGCAGCUCAACUGUAAAAUUGCCUUGGAUACUGGUCGGCUAGAGUAGUGGAGCGGUGGCUGGAAUUUAUAGUGUAGCGGUGAAAUGCUUAGAUACUAUGAGGAACACCAAUUGCGAAGGCAGGUCACUGGUCACUAACUGACGCUGAGGUACGAAAGUGUGGGAUCAAACAGGAUUAGAUACCCUGGUAGGAUA
This 466-nucleotide ribosomal RNA is filed under the name uncultured bacterium. RNAcentral describes it as "bacterial SSU rRNA". It matches the Rfam family "Bacterial small subunit ribosomal RNA", at positions 335 to 797 of the family's 1533-position model. The record is from RNAcentral.